Molecule: transfer RNA, 76 nt
Filed under: Erythrobacter sp.
Lineage: Bacteria; Pseudomonadati; Pseudomonadota; Alphaproteobacteria; Sphingomonadales; Erythrobacteraceae
Also listed under: 19 other names
Description: tRNA-Lys
Rfam family: tRNA
About the family: Transfer RNA (tRNA) molecules are approximately 80 nucleotides in length.
Source: RNAcentral
GGGCCCUUAGCUCAGUCGGUAGAGCAACUGACUUUUAAUCAGUAGGUCGCUGGUUCGAGCCCAGCAGGGCUCACCA